GACGAACGCUGGCGGCGUACCUAAUACAUGCAAGUAGAACGCUGAAGGAGGAGCUUGCUUCUCUGGAUGAGUUGCGAACGGGUGAGUAACGCGUAGGUAACCUGCCUGGUAGCGGGGGAUAACUAUUGGAAACGAUAGCUAAUACCGCAUAAGAGUAGAUGUCGCAUGACAUUUGCUUAAAAGGUGCAAUUGCAUCACUACCAGAUGGACCUGCGUUGUAUUAGCUAGUUGGUGAGGUAACGGCUCACCAAGGCAACGAUACAUAGCCGACCUGAGAGGGUGAUCGGCCACACUGGGACUGAGACACGGCCCAGACUCCUACGGGAGGCAGCAGUAGGGAAUCUUCGGCAAUGGACGGAAGUCUGACCGAGCAACGCCGCGUGAGUGAAGAAGGUUUUCGGAUCGUAAAGCUCUGUUGUAAGAGAAGAACGAGUGUGAGAGUGGAAAGUUCACACUGUGACGGUAUCUGACCAGAAAGGGACGGCUAACUACGUG
Molecule: ribosomal RNA, 495 nt
Filed under: uncultured bacterium
Lineage: Bacteria
Description: partial 16S ribosomal RNA
Rfam family: Bacterial small subunit ribosomal RNA
Source: RNAcentral